Sciurus carolinensis (gray squirrel) is the source of this 72-nucleotide non-coding RNA. The record is from the annotation of a RefSeq genome assembly. NCBI's taxonomy places the organism in Eukaryota, Metazoa, Chordata, Mammalia, Rodentia, Sciuridae.
UGGGAUGUAGCUCAGUGGUAGAGUGCUUGCCUAGCAUGCAUGAGGUCCUGGGUUUGAGUCCCAGCACCACAA